This is a non-coding RNA of Biomphalaria pfeifferi, 388 nucleotides long. NCBI's taxonomy places the organism in Eukaryota, Metazoa, Mollusca, Gastropoda, Planorbidae. The record is from the annotation of a GenBank genome assembly.
UUUUUUUUUUUUUUUUACUGGCACUCAUCUCCAUUAACUUCUUUGUGUGAUUGUGAGAACUAUAUCCUGUCCUAUUGCCUGUUAUUGUUAACCAGCCAGAUCUUAUAUUGGUGAUAAACCACCAACAAUUUGUAUAUCUUAAUUUGCUGCAUUAGCAAUACAUAAGAAAAAAAACAAAACCCUAAGAAGGUAUUACUAAUGUAUUUGUUCAUGUUGUGAAUGAAAUAUUGUGCCACUUGAAGUUUCCAUCAUAAAACAAAAGAUACUGAGAAAACUAGACAAGGAAUCAUCAAUAAAAAGCACACAAUAAUUAACUCUUGUAAAUUGUUGCCUCAUUAUAUGAUUCUUAUUUUUUUUCCUCUUAGGUUUACAUUACUACAAUUCAGCU